This 450-nucleotide long non-coding RNA is filed under the name Ananas comosus (pineapple). Its description in RNAcentral is "long non-coding RNA (ACOM_LNC037086)". The record is from RNAcentral. Lineage: Eukaryota; Viridiplantae; Streptophyta; Magnoliopsida; Poales; Bromeliaceae.
ACCCUAAAAUCCCAUUCUAGGGUUUCAUCUACCACAAAGCAACAAAACUCCAAUCUAGAGGGAGAGAAUGAGCUACUAACCUUUUAGAAGCCUCAAACAAGAUCCAAAGUCCUCCAAGUGUGGAGAUCUCCCUUCUGUCAAGCUCUAAAUCCAAGGUCCAAGCCAACAAAAGAAAGAAGAGAGGGUGUGGGUGAAGAUCCAAGCCUCCAACAAGCUCUCUUCUUCUUCUUCUUCCUCUCCUUCUUCUUCUUCUCUCUCUAGGAGCAAGUGGGAUGGUGGAAUGAGGGAGAAGAGAAGGAGAAGUGGCCAUAUAGGCCCUCUAGUGUAACAAAAUCCAACUGAGUCCCUCAACUUUGCACCCUGUGCAAAGCCCGGACUGGGCAGUUUUCGGAUUGAGGGACCGGUCUCCCCGACAUGGGACCGGUCUCUUGGCCUGCUCUUAGAAAAUCC